UUCCGGUUGAUCCCGCCGGAGGCUACCGCUAUUGGAGUUCGAUUAAGCCAUGCGAGUCGCGAGAAAUUAGAUUCUCGGCGUACCGCUCAGUAACACGUGGGUAACCUGCCCUAUGCUGGAUAAUAACCUCGGGAAACUGAGAAUAAUGAUCCAUAGUUCACUACGCCUGGAACGGUGAGUGGAUAAAAGCCCCGGCGGCAUAGGAUGGGCCUGCGGCGUAUCAGGUUGUAGGGGGUGUAACGUACCCUCUAGCCCUCUACGCGUACGGGUGUUGGGAGACAUAGCCCGGAGAUGGAUUCUGAGACACGAAUCCAGACCCUACGGGGUGCAGCAGGCGCGAAAACUUGGCAAUGCGAGAAAUCGUGACCAGGGAACUCCAAGUGCAUCGGGUAAGACCGGUGCUUUUCUUGACUCUAAAAAGGUCUUGGAAUAAGGGGUGGGUAAGGACGGUGCCAGCCGCCGCGGUAAUACCGGCGCCUCAAGUGGUAGUCGCUUUUAUUGGGCCUAAAACGUCCGUAGCCGGUCUAAUACAUUCGUGGGUAAAUCAACCAGCUCAACUGGUUGAAUUCUGCGAGGACGGUUAGACUUGGGACCGGGAGAGGUGUGGGGUACGCUCAGGGUAGGGGUAAAAUCCUGUCAUCCUGAGCGGACCACCUGUUGCGAAGGCGCCACACUAGAACGGAUCCGACGGUCAGGGACGAAGCCUAGGGGCACGAACCGGAUUAGAUACCCGGGUAGUCCUAGGUGUAAACGCUGUGGACUUGAUGUUGGAGGAGCUCCGAGCUCUUUCAGUGUCGAAGCGAAGGUGAUAAGUCCACUGCCUGGGAAGUACGGUCGCAAGGCUGAAACUUAAAGGAAUUGGCGGGGGAGCACCGCAACCUGAGGAUUGUGCGGUUUAAUUGGAUUCAACGCCGG
This 915-nucleotide ribosomal RNA is filed under the name uncultured marine archaeon. RNAcentral describes it as "bacterial SSU rRNA". It matches the Rfam family "Archaeal small subunit ribosomal RNA", at positions 1 to 921 of the family's 1478-position model. The record is from RNAcentral.